CUGGGCCUUAUGGGCUGCCCAGGCGGAGCGGGACUUCCCGGUCAUUGUCAUCCUCCGCUCCCCGCGCUCAGCCUGGCCCGAGCUCAGCUUCCCCAGCCCCUGUCCACCGCCCACCUGCUGAGGAGCAGCAGAGUGCUGUGUCACUCAGGAGUUGGGGACCCCUGACCGAACCCAACCGCCCUCGUGCGCUGUGCAGAAAGAUUUUUUAAAAAGCCUCGUGGGGCAUAGCACCAUCGCUAAAUGCCUGGUACAUUUAAGAAGCCUGACUGCGGGAGAGGCCCUCUACAAAUGCUGUUACCUGGGAUCUGAGAACUAAGUAAGCCAGACUUUCUUUAAUUCUAAAUGGCAAAAAAAAAAAAAAAAAAAAAAAUCUAAAUACUUUUCAUAACAUUAUACUAAUAAUGGCCAGUUGUUUAUUUUUAUUUCUGUUGUUAAUAUUCACAAUUCAUUUGCUAACUAAAUAUUUAAAAGUUCUCGUGUUAAUCUAGUCUCUUAGUUAGAACUUUUAGUUCUAGUGCUAACUGGUCUUAAAAAACAAUUUCAAAAAAACAAAAACCAGUUUCAGAUCUCCAACUCUGAUAUGGAGACGAUCAAUAUUAUUUGACUUUCUUUGUUAGAACAGUAGCACUUGGGGGCGCCUGGCUGGCUCACUCAGUAGAGCAUAGGACUCUUGAUCUCGGAUUGUAAGUUCAAGUUCCACGAUGGUUGUAGAGAUUACUUAAAAAAAAAAAACCUUAGGGGCACCUCGGUGGCUCAGUUCAUUGAGCAUCCACCUCUUGAUUUCGGCCCAGGUCGUAAUCUCGCGGUUUGCAGGAUCAAGCCCCGCGUCAGGCUCUGUGCGGACGGCGUGGAGCCUGCUUGGCAUUCUCUCUCUCCCUCUCUCUGCCCACCCCCACUACGUGCUCGCUCUCUCUCUUUCUCUCCCUCAAAAU
This 932-nucleotide long non-coding RNA is filed under the name Panthera leo (lion). RNAcentral describes it as "lncRNA (ENSPLOG00000009059.1)". Lineage: Eukaryota; Metazoa; Chordata; Mammalia; Carnivora; Felidae. The record is from RNAcentral.